Long non-coding RNA from Mesocricetus auratus (golden hamster), 1102 nucleotides. RefSeq lists it as uncharacterized. The transcript has 3 exons. The record is from RefSeq and is a predicted model, not a curated record. NCBI's taxonomy places the organism in Eukaryota, Metazoa, Chordata, Mammalia, Rodentia, Cricetidae.
CUUGUUGGUGAAUACUGUUCUGCUAAUGUGAGCUUUGAGAGGGCGGCCUGUGUGAAGGUUUCACUCAAGUCUUUUCUCUCAGGCAGACUCUGAGGGCCGAGAGAAACACAGCUUUGUUGGUGGGAACGGGACUUUUCCAAUAGAGUGGAGUGAGAGAAACACCAGACAUCAGUGCCGAAUUUUAGUUGUGAAUGAGCUGUAAGGCCAGAGAAGUCUUCAGUUUUUAAGUGUGUUGCCUUGACUGGGCAUGGCCACUGGUUGGGCAAGAGGGCGGGAAAGAAGCCACUGACAGUAACUAAUGUCUGGGAACUUUCUACCACGGAUUUACCACACCAGUCAUCUCAUAAGGCAGCUGCAGAAAUGGCAGGUGGACCACAGGAGCUAGGCCAAGGUCUAACGCUCUCAUCUCCUCAGGGCAGCCAGGAUUCCAGGUAGUUCUCAAAUUCAACAACAGCAAGACAUUGUUUAAGGCUCCUGAAGUGCAGUCUCUGUAAUUUCAAAAUUAAUUGAUGUUUCACCCUGGACAAGUUCACACAACUAAAUCCUGGUAGCUCACGACAGCAGUUUCUGGAGCCAGAGUUCUGGAGCAUACCACAUCUGUACCGACUUGUCGAGGCGGAAGACUGUGUUAGAGAGACGGCUCCUGGGAAGCUCAUACGUCAUUUUGGGACCUCAGCGUUGGAAGAGCACAGUGAAAUCAGAGUGCCUUGAGGAAGUUCCUUAACCUGAUUUCCUCGAGAAGCAUUCCACAUCUGUACCAACUUGCUCAGAGUGACUGGUUCAAGACUGCAUUAGCUAUUUAUCCAAGAAUGUCCUGCCUAUUUGGAAACGGCAUAUUAAGAUAGCACUUUGCACAAGCCCUUUUUUGUUUAAACAGGAAGAAAUGCCAAAGGGGUGGGGGGGGAGGAGAACUGGAAACAGGCUUUUCUUGAUGUGAAGAAUUCCAGUGGAGAAGACAGAGGCUUUAACAAGUUGUCCAGCCAUGAUGAAAAUGAGCACCUCACACCCCCCAAACUGACCUUGAUUUGCACACCCAUUGCUCUACUUGCUAAUAAGUACAAAUGGUCAACAAAAUUAAAUUGCUGAACCAAUGGUUAGACCA